AGCAGCCGCGGUAAUUCCAGCUCCAAUAGCGUAUAUUAAAGUUGUUGCAGUUAAAAAGCUCGUAGUUGAAUUUCGGGAUCAGUACGCUGGUCGUGCCUUUGGUAUGUACUGGUGUCACUGAUUCCUCCCUUCUGAAGAACCGUUAUGCCAUUUAUUUGGUGUGGCGGGAAAUCAGGACUGUUACUUUGAAAAAAUUAGAGUGUUUAAAGCAGGCUCGCGCUUGAAUACAUUAGCAUGGAAUAAUGAAAUAGGACGUUUGAUCUUAUUUUGUUGGUUUCUAGGAUCGACGUAAUGAUUAAUAGGGAUAGUUGGGGGCAUUAGUAUUCAAUUGUCAGAGGUGAAAUUCUUGGAUUUAUUGAAGACUAACUACUGCGAAAGCAUUUGCCAAGGAUGUUUUCAUUAAUCAAGAACGAAAGUUAGGGGAUCGAAGACGAUCAGAUACCGUCGUAG
Molecule: ribosomal RNA, 450 nt
Filed under: uncultured Glomeromycotina
Lineage: Eukaryota; Fungi; Glomeromycota
Description: SSU rRNA
Rfam family: Eukaryotic small subunit ribosomal RNA
Source: RNAcentral